AACCCGUCUGAUAGCGCUU
RNAcentral lists this small nuclear RNA (19 nucleotides) under Arabidopsis thaliana (thale cress). RNAcentral's name for it is "snRNA_12546". The record is from RNAcentral. Lineage: Eukaryota; Viridiplantae; Streptophyta; Magnoliopsida; Brassicales; Brassicaceae.